GUUAAUACCCAUUAGGAAAGACAUCACUCGCAGAAGAAGCACCGGCUAACUCCGUGCCAGCAGCCGCGGUAAUACGGAGGGUGCGAGCGUUAAUCGGAAUUACUGGGCGUAAAGCGCGCGUAGGCGGUCUGAUAAGCCGGUUGUGAAAGCCCCGGGCUCAACCUGGGAACGGCAUCCGGAACUGUCAAGCUAGAGUGCAGGAGAGGAAGGUAGAAUUCCCGGUGUAGCGGUGAAAUGCGUAGAGAUCGGGAGGAAUACCAGUGGCGAAGGCGGCCUUCUGGACUGACACUGACGCUGAGGUGCGAAAGCGUGGGUAGCAAACAGGAUUAGAUACCCUGGUAGUCCACGCCGUAAACGAUGUCGACCAGCCGUUGGGUGCCUAGCGCACUUUGUGGCGAAGUUAACGCGAUAAGUCGACCGCCUGGGGAGUACGGCCGCAAGGUUAAAACUCAAAUGAAUUGACGGGGGCCCGCACAAGCGGUGGAGCAUGUGGUUUAAUUCGAUGCAACGCGAAGAACCUUACCUACUCUUGACAUCCUGCGAACUUUUCAGAGAUGACUUGGUGCCUUCGGGAACGCUGAGACAGGUGCUGCAUGGCUGUCGUCAGCUCGUGUUGUGAAAUGUUGGGUUAAGUCCCGCAACGAGCGCAACCCUUAUCCUUUGUUGCCAGCGGUCCGGCCGGGAACUCAAAGGAGACUGCCAGUGAUAAACUGGAGGAAGGUGGGGAUGACGUCAAGUCAUCAUGGCCCUUACGACCAGGGCUACACACGUGCUACAAUGGCGCAUACAAAGAGAAGCGACCUCGCGAGAGCAAGCGGACCUCAUAAAGUGCGUCGUAGUCCGGAUUGGAGUCUGCAACUCGACUCCAUGAAGUCGGAAUCGCUAGUAAUCGUGGAUCAGAAUGCCACGGUGAAUACGUUCCCGGGCCUUGUACACACCGCCCGUCACACCAUGGGAGUGGACUGCACCAGAAGUGGUUAGCCUAACUUCGGAGGGCGAUCACCACGGUGUGGUUCAUGACUGGGGUGAAGUCGUAACAAGGUAGCCGUAGGGGAACCUGCGGCUG
This 1066-nucleotide ribosomal RNA is filed under the name Taklimakanibacter deserti. RNAcentral's name for it is "bacterial SSU rRNA". It matches the Rfam family "Bacterial small subunit ribosomal RNA", at positions 452 to 1520 of the family's 1533-position model. The record is from RNAcentral. Lineage: Bacteria; Pseudomonadati; Pseudomonadota; Alphaproteobacteria; Hyphomicrobiales; Aestuariivirgaceae.